UACAGAGGUCUCAAGCGUUGUUCGGAUUCAUUGGGCGUAAAGGGUGUGUAGGUGGCGCCGUAAGUCGGGUGUGAAAUUUCGGAGCUUAACUCCGAAACUGCAUUCGAUACUGCGGUGCUUGAGGACUGGAGAGGAGACUGGAAUUCAUGGUGUAGCAGUGAAAUGCGUAGAGAUCAUGAGGAAGACCAGUGGCGAAGGCGGAUCUCUGGGCCAUAACUGACGCUGAGGAGCGAAAGCAUGGGGAGCGAACAGG
RNAcentral lists this ribosomal RNA (253 nucleotides) under uncultured bacterium. RNAcentral's name for it is "partial 16S ribosomal RNA". It matches the Rfam family "Bacterial small subunit ribosomal RNA", at positions 524 to 776 of the family's 1533-position model. The record is from RNAcentral.